RNAcentral lists this ribosomal RNA (131 nucleotides) under uncultured bacterium. RNAcentral's name for it is "partial 16S ribosomal RNA". It matches the Rfam family "Bacterial small subunit ribosomal RNA", at positions 381 to 503 of the family's 1533-position model. The record is from RNAcentral.
GUCUGACGGAGCAACGCCGCGUGAGUGAUGAAGGUUUUCGGAUCGUAAAACUCUGUUGUUAGGGAAGAACAAGUAUCGUUCGAAUAGGGCGGUACCUUGACGGUACCUAACCAGAAAGCCACGGCUAACUA